This 485-nucleotide ribosomal RNA is filed under the name uncultured Pseudomonadota bacterium. RNAcentral's name for it is "bacterial SSU rRNA". It matches the Rfam family "Bacterial small subunit ribosomal RNA", at positions 97 to 562 of the family's 1533-position model. Lineage: Bacteria; Pseudomonadati; Pseudomonadota. The record is from RNAcentral.
GGCGCANGGGNGCGUAACGCGUGGGUGAUCUGCCUUUGAGACAGGGAUAACACUGCGAAAGCGGUGCUAAUACCUGAUACGUUCACGGUUUUCAAAGCUGUGGAUAAAGGUGGCCUCUGACAUAAGCUAUCGCUUGAAGAUGAGCCCGCGUACCAUUAGCUUGUUGGUAGGGUAAUGGCCUACCAAGGCGAUGAUGGUUAGCUGGCCUGAGAGGGUGGCCAGCCACACUGGAACUGANACACGGUCCAGACUCCUACGGGAGGCAGCAGUGGGGGAUAUUGCGCAAUGGGGGAAACCCUGACGCAGCGACGCCGUGUGAGUGAUGAAGGCCUUCGGGUCGUAAAGCUCUGUCAGAUGGGAAGAAUAAGGGUUGGGAAAAUAUCUCUGCCCGAUGACGGUACCAUCAGAGGAAGCACCGGCUAACUCCGUGCCAGCAGCCGCGGUAAUACGGAGGGUGCAAGCGUUGUUCGGAAUUACUGGGCGUA